UACGUAGGUGGCAAGCGUUAUCCGGAUUUAUUGGGUGUAAAGGGAGCGUAGACGGCAGCGCAAGUCUGGAGUGAAAUGCCGGGGCUCAACCCCGGAACUGCUUUGGAAACUGUGCAGCUAGAGUGCGGGAGAGGUAAGCGGAAUUCCUAGUGUAGCGGUGAAAUGCGUAGAUAUUAGGAGGAACACCAGUGGCGAAGGCAGCUUACUGGACCGUAACUGACGUUGAGGCUCGAAAGCGUGGGGAGCAAACAGG
This 253-nucleotide ribosomal RNA is filed under the name uncultured bacterium. Its description in RNAcentral is "partial 16S ribosomal RNA". It matches the Rfam family "Bacterial small subunit ribosomal RNA", at positions 524 to 776 of the family's 1533-position model. The record is from RNAcentral.